This 414-nucleotide long non-coding RNA is filed under the name Solanum tuberosum (potato). RNAcentral describes it as "long non-coding RNA (STUB_LNC010450)". The record is from RNAcentral. Lineage: Eukaryota; Viridiplantae; Streptophyta; Magnoliopsida; Solanales; Solanaceae.
GAUCUCAUGGUUGGGAUCGAGACUCAAGAUUGAUGUCGAGGUUGAAAUCUUAGGCUCGAUCUCAAUUUCAUGUUUGGAUCUCGAGGCUUGAAUCAACAUUAAUUAGUGUUGGCCAAAAGAUAUGACGACCUUAAGAAAUUGAUCGGGAUAACCACGUACAACAUAGAUCCGUACAGCCAAAAAUGAGAAUAAAUAUCACUUGUACUCCUAAAAAGAUUUGCACAAUAUCUAGUUUACAAAAAUUAUUUUAAUUAACAUAUCUUCUAGUACUAUUGUCAAACAUAAUCAUUUUAGUUAUCACUAUUUUCUUCAUUUAGGUAAUUGCGUUUUGUAUUAAGUAACAAAAUAUUAAAAAAAUUCUCUUAAUAGAUCUUUGCAUUUCAUCUAUUUUUAUUUGAUUUUUUUGCAGUAGCC